AGAGCGAACGCUGGCGGCAGGCCUAACACAUGCAAGUCGAGCGCCCGUAGCAAUACGGGAGCGGCAGACGGGAUAGUAACACGUGGGAACGCGCCCUUCGGUUCGGAAUAACUCAGGGAAACUUGAGCUAAUACCGGAUACGCCCUUACGGGGAAAGAUUUAUUGCCGAAGGAACGGCCCGCGUCCGAUUAGCUAGUUGGUGAGGUAAUGGCUCACCAAGGCGACGAUCGGUAGCUGGUCUGAGAGGAUGACCAGCAUCACUGGGACUGAGACACGGCCCAGACUCCUACGGGAGGCAGCAGUGGGGAAUAUUGGACAAUGGGCGCAAGCCUGAUCCAGCCAUGCCGCGUGGAUGAUGAAGGCCUUAGGGUUGUAAAGUCCUUUUAACGGGAAGAUAAUGACGGUACCGUAGAAUAAGCCCCGGCUAACUUCGUGCCAGCAGGCCGC
RNAcentral lists this ribosomal RNA (447 nucleotides) under uncultured bacterium. RNAcentral's name for it is "SSU rRNA". It matches the Rfam family "Bacterial small subunit ribosomal RNA", at positions 26 to 518 of the family's 1533-position model. The record is from RNAcentral.